AACGAACGCUGGCGGCGCGUCUUAAGCAUGCAAGUCGAACGGCAAGAGAGGAGCUUGCUUCUCUCCUAGAGUGGCGGACUGGUGAGUAACGCGUGGGUGAUCUACCUUUAAGAUGGGGAUAGCUUUUAGAAAUAAGAGAUAAUACCGAAUGUGCUUACGAUGUUUUGACAUUGUAAGGAAAGGAGCGUUUGCUCCGCUUAAAGAUGAGCCUGCGUCCCAUUAGCUAGUUGGUGAGGUAAAGGCCCACCAAGGCUGUGAUGGGUAUCCGACCUGAGAGGGUGAUCGGACACAUUGGGACUGAGAUACGGCCCAAACUCCUACGGGAGGCAGCAGCUGAGAAUCUUCCGCAAUGGACGAAGUCUGACGGAGCGACACCGCGUGAAUGAUGAAGGCCGAAAGGUUGUAAAAUUCUUUUGCAGACAAAGAAUAAGUGCAGGAGGAAAUGCCUGCAUGAUGACGGUAGUUAUGCGAAUAAGCCCCGGCUAAUUACGUGC
Molecule: ribosomal RNA, 494 nt
Filed under: Treponema sp. oral taxon G86
Lineage: Bacteria; Pseudomonadati; Spirochaetota; Spirochaetia; Treponematales; Treponemataceae
Description: bacterial SSU rRNA
Rfam family: Bacterial small subunit ribosomal RNA
Source: RNAcentral